CCCCCUCCUGUGAUUUUUCCCCCCUCCGGCACUGCUCCAAACUUUGGAGCAAUGUAGUUAUAUUAUUUUCCUGUCUUGACUAUUAAUGCUGUGGCUGCCUCCACUGGUAUUGUAGCUCUAGGGCUGCUACUCACCAAUCCUGAAGACAGCGAGUUCAGAUGACAUUGACUGAAGUUUGGAGAGUUUAGAAAACCAGGUCUUGGAGACUCAAGAUCAGUGUUUUUAUCUUUAAUUUUUUCCUUAGAGGAAGACAGAAAGGUGAAGUCAAAUUUUCUAUUAAAUAUGACAAAUACUAAUUAGGGAAAUGGGCAGAGAAGAGUGUCUCAUUACCUGGCGGAUUGAUUUUUAACUCACUGGCAACUUGGUGCCACUAGAUCUGAAAGUCAUGCCAGUGGGUAGGUUAAUACAUUCUUUGCAGAGAUGUGACAACUGCCACUAGGAAGAAUGUGCAUUACUUUAAAAUUAAGGUAAAUUCCUGU
This 479-nucleotide long non-coding RNA is filed under the name Bos taurus (domestic cattle). RNAcentral describes it as "long non-coding RNA NONBTAT004215". Lineage: Eukaryota; Metazoa; Chordata; Mammalia; Artiodactyla; Bovidae. The record is from RNAcentral.